UGGGGAAUCUUGCGCAAUGGGCGGAAGCCUGACGCAGCAACGCCGCGUGUGGGAAGACGGCUUUCGGGUUGUAAACCACUUUCAGGGGGGACGCGGUACCCCCAGAAGAAGCCCCGGCUAACUACGUGCCAGCAGCCGCGGUAAUACGUAGGGGGCGAGCGUUGUCCGGAAUCAUUGGGCGUAAAGCGCGUGUAGGCGGCUUGGUAAGUCUGGUGUGAAACCUUGGGGCUCAACCCCAAGCCUGCACUGGAUACUGCCUGGCUUGAGUCCGGGAGGGGAGAGCGGAAUUCCUAGUGUAGCGGUGAAAUGCGCAGAUAUUAGGAAGAACACCGGUGGCGAAGGCGGCUCUCUGGAACGGUACUGACGCUGAGACGCGAAAGCGU
RNAcentral lists this ribosomal RNA (383 nucleotides) under uncultured bacterium. RNAcentral's name for it is "bacterial SSU rRNA". It matches the Rfam family "Bacterial small subunit ribosomal RNA", at positions 355 to 762 of the family's 1533-position model. The record is from RNAcentral.